AGAGGUGGGCAAAUGCUGACAUGGGAGCCUAAGUCAGGUGCCAGGCAGCGGGCAAUCUGGAUCUUAUCUCUGAAACAUUGAUCAUCCUUGACAGCCUUGGGUGUCAGGCU
This 110-nucleotide microRNA precursor is filed under the name Mus spretus (western wild mouse). RNAcentral's name for it is "predicted gene, 54536 (ENSMSPG00010021304.1)". The record is from RNAcentral. Lineage: Eukaryota; Metazoa; Chordata; Mammalia; Rodentia; Muridae.